GUGGGGAAUAUUGGACAAUGGGCGAAAGCCUGAUCCAGCCAUGCCGCGUGUGUGAAGAAGGUCUUCGGAUUGUAAAGCACUUUAAGUUGGGAGGAAGGGCAGUAAGUUAAUACCUUGCUGUUUUGACGUUACCGACAGAAUAAGCACCGGCUAACUUCGUGCCAGCAGCCGCGGUAAUACGAAGGGUGCAAGCGUUAAUCGGAAUUACUGGGCGUAAAGCGCGCGUAGGUGGUUUUGUAAGUUGGAGGUGAAAUCCCCGGGCUCAACCUGGGAACUGCCUCCAAAACUACUGAGCUAGAGUACGGUAGAGAGUAGUGGAAUUGCCUGUGUAGCGGUGAAAUGCGUAGAUAUAGGAAGGAACACCAGUGGCGAAGGCGACUACCUGGACUGAUACUGACACUGAGGUGCGAAAGCGUGGGGAGCAAACAGGAUUAGAAACCCUAGUAGUCC
Molecule: ribosomal RNA, 450 nt
Filed under: uncultured bacterium
Lineage: Bacteria
Description: partial 16S ribosomal RNA
Rfam family: Bacterial small subunit ribosomal RNA
Source: RNAcentral